AUGGGAGAGGAGGAGAGGACAGGAGAAUUAAUUGUAUUAGAAGGCUCAGGAGGUCAUCUUGCUGCAAGGAAUGUUAAGCAGAGAGCUUCAGCUGGAUUAUUACGAUUUGUUUGGGAGGAUUUGGCUUGGGUGUUGGCCAUCUGUGGAAUAGAUGAAAAUGCACACUGCCUGUGUGGUGAUGAGAGAAUUGAAGGUGUGUGCCAUUUUUUCUUGCUUUGUCACAAAUGUAAUCUCAAAAAAGACUCUCUUCUUUUUAAUAUAGUACUUACUCUCCUCUAUUUUUUUUGCUGUUAUCGUGUUUGGGUGAGAAAAAUAGUUGCUGUGUAUUAGGCAAGUAGAGGAAGCUGUUCUACUGCCAUCUCUAUGGGCUAAUCCUGUUUUCCCAUCUGUGUUUUAUCCAUUUCUUAGGGAGGCAGGACUGUGUGAAGAAACUUCCUUAAAAACACAAUUUAAUUGUAAUUGUCAUAGAAAUCCAUUGAUUUUGCCUACUUAAAACUGACCAUGCAUUUAGGUGCUUGAGUCUAAAGGAAAACAGUGUGACCUUUUUGUUAAUGAAAUGUAGUUCCUCUGUCUCUGCUAACGCUGCAGUAUUUUCAUUGCCAUGUUAACUACCUUUAAGACAGAAGGGAAAAGUUGGAAUAAUCACAGCUACUUUUUUUUUUUUUUUUUUUUUUUUUGGGGUGUUUUUUGUACUGGGGGUCCAGAGAUGAUUUUUUGCCUUACUUGACUCUCCAGUGCUCCCAGUAUAUUUUCCCCUGCCCUCAGCAGCAUGCUUUGUUAAGAGAUCUGUGCAGAUCCCAUGUAAAGGGAUCCCUUGUAAAGAGAUUCCUUGUAAAAUCAUAUUCUCAAAAGCCAAAUCACACCUCUAAUGAGUCUGCUGAUCUUCCAUCUCAGUUUAUUCUUGUAUAAAUGGGGAGGUUCUUCAUAUAUCAUCUGUGGAUGUGUGUAUAAAUAUUCAGAAUUUGUUAUUAUUGUGGGAAGUGGGAAAUCUUGUUCAGCAUCACUGAAUCAACCUUACCUACCCUUGUCAGCUUAUUUUAUUACCUUUUUUAAAUUUUUGCUACUGGGUAUCCAAAACUUAUGUGGUAUUCUAGUUGUGUAUUUCAGGAGGGAUUUAUUAAUGGGAGUUUUGCCUGUAGAGUAAACACCAGCAUAUUCUUGGCCUUCCAUAUUGCCACCCGGGGCUAACUUCUGGCUUACUUUUGGCCUGUUCCCCACCUGGGUCCCCAGCUUUCUUUCAGCAGACCUGCUCCCUAGGUAGUCAGUCCUAGGUCUGUAAAGGGAUAAGUCCAACACAGGUAGGGGACUACGUGUCUCAUUUCUGAGUUUCAUGAAAUAUCUAUGGAGUAAUGGUGGAGGGGGUCUGGAUGUACGCUUCUUAAGCUUGAGGGGUUGAGCCUGCUACAUAGUUCAGUUUAUUUCACUGUUUUAGGAACUUCUGUAGUUCUUCCUAAGUCACAUCUAACUUUAAAAUAUUGUUAUGAAUUUGAAUGUUAUAUACAAAUCAUUUUAAUUUUAUUUUCAAAACUUGGCACAUAUUAGUAAUAAAACAGAGGAAGAGAAGAAGAUGCA
Molecule: long non-coding RNA, 1572 nt
Filed under: Anas platyrhynchos platyrhynchos (common mallard)
Lineage: Eukaryota; Metazoa; Chordata; Aves; Anseriformes; Anatidae
Description: lncRNA (ENSAPLG00000020711.1)
Source: RNAcentral